UACGUAGGGUCCGAGCGUUGUCCGGAAUUAUUGGGCGUAAAGGGCUCGUAGGCGGUCUGUUGCGUCGGGAGUGAAAACUUACAGCUUAACUGUGAGCGUGCUUUCGAUACGGGCAGACUUGAGGCAUUCAGGGGAGAACGGAAUUCCUGGUGUAGCGGUGAAAUGCGCAGAUAUCAGGAAGAACACCCGUGGCUAAGGCGGCUCUCUAGUACGGUACUGACGCUGAGACGCGAAAGCGUGGGGAGCGAACAGG
This 253-nucleotide ribosomal RNA is filed under the name uncultured bacterium. Its description in RNAcentral is "partial 16S ribosomal RNA". It matches the Rfam family "Bacterial small subunit ribosomal RNA", at positions 524 to 776 of the family's 1533-position model. The record is from RNAcentral.